AAAACACAAAGCCAGACAAGAGUGUGAUUCAGGGUAAGAGAUCAGACUCACCACAACCCAGCUGUGCGUCCAUGAGGAGCGACUGGUCAAUGGAACUCCCAGAUGUAUUUAAGAAGCAAGACCAUUCUACUGAUUGGGGUUAGACGGAGGGCUGAUGUAUGUAACUGUAUCCGGGAGGACUAGCUUCAUUUAAUGCUUCACCUUCCCGAGAGCAGCACCUUCCCGAGUGGGAUGGACACCGUCCCUCCCUCAAAACUAUUCCAAUUAUCUAUAAAGCCCACAUUGUUUUCAGAGCACCACCUGGACAUCCAGCAGUUCAGCGACCAUAACCUGCUGUAAGCUACAUCGCCACGCCGCAUUGGGAUGGGGCCAGAGCAUACUACAGCAUUGGACAUCGCCUUCGCUAAUUUACACACCUCUACCAAGUUACUCUUAGUAACCUCAGACUGACAAAGGCGUAUAUCAUUAGCUCCUACAUGAAUAACUAUCAUUGAGAACCUGUGCUUGCCUAAGACCCUAAGAUUACCUGCUAUGUCCGGCGCCCUGGCUCCCGGUAUACACCUAACUAAAGCUGCUGGUGCCCCUAAAGUGCCUAGCUAAUUUCACAUGCCUUAAGAUAGAGUCACCUAUAACCAGAGCUCUUUCAAGUUUCUCAGCAGGUGCUUCACUGAGAAGAGCAAACCUGUUAGACACGUGAAUUGGAGAGGAGUGGUGCUCCUGUGGGCGAGCCUUAGCGUUAGCUUUGGCUUUGCGUUUACGCCGCCAAGUCAUCACCCAUAGCGAGGGCUCUAAUGUCGGAGUUGGGGGAUUGCUAACUCCACCUAAGGCAUCCAUACUUUCCCCUACAGAAACUAUGCUGCUCUCACUCUCACUAACCCUCUCUAGAGUCUGGAUGCGCACCUCUAAUGCAGCAGUCUUCUCUAUUACGUUCACGUUCACUUUCCUACUGAUUGAACACACCUGGACUCAUUCACACAAUCACUGCCAGCAAUACUUAAAGAAAGUCAUUCCACGACCACAUUGUGAAGUAUAUGCUCUGUGUAUUAUAACUGCGAUACUAAGCCUUAUUAUCUUGCUAUAGUGAUUUCUGCUUACAAUUUUUGCUCUGGUUUAUUGGUUUAUUUGUUUGUCGUUUGCCCUGGUUACUCUGUUUGCACAUCACCUGAAUGCUACCAUGCCUUAUGUUUUGGCUUUGUUUGCCUGUUGUAGAAAUAAAACUCUUAACAUCGUCUCUGCCACCUGACAUUGUGCUGAGGCUAUGGCUUAAAUCAUUAUUUUUUAAAAAUUAUGUUCUGCAUAUUUUCCAGGUUAUUUGUACAUUAAAUAAAUAAAAAAGACUGUUGCACAUUUAGCCACAUUUUUUUCCCACAGAUUUUGCUUGGCUUUAUUAAUUUCAUUAUUAUUUUAUGUGAUUUGCUGCUCACUAGGGUAGGAAGUGGUUUUGUCUAACACUUAUUCAAAGCGAUUAUACAAUCAUCUGUAUACAAUUACAUUAUAUUAUCAUGGAUAUUACUCUUAACUUUUAGGAUCUA
Long non-coding RNA from Pangasianodon hypophthalmus (striped catfish), 1532 nucleotides. RefSeq lists it as uncharacterized. The record is from RefSeq and is a predicted model, not a curated record. Lineage: Eukaryota; Metazoa; Chordata; Actinopteri; Siluriformes; Pangasiidae. The transcript is spliced from 3 exons.